AUUUAUAUAGUUUAGGAAAACAUUACAUUUUCACUGUAAAGACAAAGAUAUACUUUUAUAAAUA
Molecule: transfer RNA, 64 nt
Filed under: Phoxotermes cerberus
Lineage: Eukaryota; Metazoa; Arthropoda; Insecta; Blattodea; Termitidae
Description: tRNA-Glu
Rfam family: tRNA
About the family: Transfer RNA (tRNA) molecules are approximately 80 nucleotides in length.
Source: RNAcentral